RNAcentral lists this ribosomal RNA (253 nucleotides) under uncultured bacterium. RNAcentral describes it as "partial 16S ribosomal RNA". It matches the Rfam family "Bacterial small subunit ribosomal RNA", at positions 524 to 776 of the family's 1533-position model. The record is from RNAcentral.
UACGUAGGGGGCGAGCGUUGUCCGGAUUUAUUGGGCGUAGAGAGCGUGUAGGCGGCCAGGUAGGUCUGCUGUGAAAACUCGAGGCUCAACCUCGAGACGUCGGCGGAAACCAUCUGGCUAGAGUCCGGAAGAGGAGAGUGGAAUUCCUGGUGUAGCGGUGAAAUGCGCAGAUAUCAGGAAGAACACCCGUGGCGAAGGCGGUUCUCUGGGCCUUACCUGACGCUGAGGAGCGAAAGCGUGGGGAGCGAACAGG